Puntigrus tetrazona (Sumatra barb) is the source of this 351-nucleotide long non-coding RNA. RefSeq lists it as uncharacterized. Lineage: Eukaryota; Metazoa; Chordata; Actinopteri; Cypriniformes; Cyprinidae. The transcript is spliced from 3 exons. The record is from RefSeq and is a predicted model, not a curated record.
AUAUUUAAGAGGGUUUAAUGUUGAUUUUCCUCUCAGACUCUCUUAAAGGGAAUCAGAGGUGUGUUGCUGAUAUUCUCCGUGCUUGAGUUCAUCAUCUCCAUCUGUCUGUCAGCGUUCGCCUGUAAAGCCGACGCCUGCUGCUGUCCUCCUCAGGUGCAGUUUGCUCAGGUUUUACCUCCACAGUCGUCUGAUGUGGUUCGUUUCCAGGAUCUGAACAGAUCAGAGAUACCCGUGACCAGCAGCUCUUUCAUUCAUCAACAUCCUGCAGACGUUCCUCCACAAUACACUGAAAGCAAAUAUGAAUAAGUGUUCCCUCAAAAAAAAAAAGGAACAUACAGGACAUGUUCAAAA